GGCGCGCGCGCGCGCGCGCACACAGACGCGCGCGUGUUUAAUAAGUAUAUGUAAAACGUAUGUUGUAUAGAUGUAUAUGUGUCGCAUGGAGCGAAAAGAUGUCGACUUACAUAACGAUUCGAAGAUGAAUUCCCAGGACGAAUUUUGAAUAUUGUGAUAGAGAUGAAGAGAAAGAGAAAGCGGGGAUAGAGAGAGAUUGUUUUUUUUUUUUUUAGUAAG
This is a long non-coding RNA of Trachymyrmex septentrionalis, 219 nucleotides long. RefSeq lists it as uncharacterized. Lineage: Eukaryota; Metazoa; Arthropoda; Insecta; Hymenoptera; Formicidae. The record is from RefSeq and is a predicted model, not a curated record. The transcript is spliced from 3 exons.